AGAAAUUUUUUUAAAAUUUUAAACUCUAAAUUAUGUAGAGCGUAUCAAGGGGAGAGAUUCAAAAUUCAAAAUGAAAUCUCCAAGUUCGGUUGGCACUCUCUCUCAAAAAACCCUGUAUACUCCUCAUAGACUAAAUCCAGAUCAUCAAGGGCCACGGUGACAAAAAAAGAGAAAGAAAAGCAACAAAUCUGGAGGGGAUAAACUGAUGUAAGUUGUUCAUGUGAGGGUAAAGAGAGGGAAAUUUUCAUUGGACUAUCUUUCGUUCUUCACAUACAUGAGAUUCUAUUUUGAGAUUUUGAAGAUUACACAGGUAUGUCUUGCUUUUACAAGAACCCUAAUUACAAAAGUUGUAGCUUUUGAGGUGAUUGAUGUAGGUGGCUGCAAAGAUUUUGAAUGGUAAGGAACCAGAGUUCUGCAAAUGGGAUGGUGAUCUUUCACAAUUGUUGUAAAAUGUUAAUGAGAAGUUGAACAUGGUUGCUGAGGUAAUUUUAGAGUCAAGAUGAAUUAUUUUUUAUUUUGACUUUUAAAGCACAUAUUACAUCUGUUAUCUUCGGUUGAAUUUGCUUUAGAUAUGUACUUGAUCUUGCAACUCUAGGAUUUAAAAUUGCAGUCGGAAGUUUUAACUUAUCUCCAGAUCGUGGACCUUCAUAAAAAGCUUGAUUUUUUGUUGAAGAAUAUGUAGCUGAUUAUCUAGGUUUGAUGGAUGGUUUAUUUGAAGCAAAUCAACGUAAUGUCAAAAGGGUAAAUCACACCAGGGAGCUUCCUCAAAACAACAAAAUGGUAGCCAUACAUACAGACAAUCUUGAUGUUCUUAUCAUGGAUGUUGAAGCUCAGCCCAUCAUGAUUCUGUCAGCAAAUUUGAUUCAACAUUUUCCGUCUUGGUGUAUGAGAAGAUGAAGCUGAGAAUCAGCCAGUGUAUUCGUUCUCUGGAAAUAUCAGAUGCAGAUGCAGUGGUGGAUGAUCCUGAUGAUGAAAAAAAUGAUAGGAGGACGCUCGGAUGGUGGAUACUUUAAAGGAAUUUGUUGUGAAUAUCGACGCUUGCGAUGGUGGAAAUCAACUUGCAAUGGUUCAGUAUGUUAAAGAUCCUUAUGCUAAUUAUAGAAAGAUGGAGGUAUACGGCUCCGUUGAUUUAAAAAGUCAAACCAUGCACAUUACUUGAUGCUAAAAAUGUAUGUUUUAAUUUAAUUAAAAAUAUUUUGGUUUCUUUUAGUGGCAUUGCUACUUUGUGCCU
RNA transcript from Helianthus annuus (common sunflower), 1231 nucleotides. It is a transcript of the gene named cyclin-B2-4, with no coding region annotated. The record is from RefSeq and is a predicted model, not a curated record. The transcript has 6 exons. Lineage: Eukaryota; Viridiplantae; Streptophyta; Magnoliopsida; Asterales; Asteraceae.